Molecule: ribosomal RNA, 465 nt
Filed under: Vreelandella stevensii
Lineage: Bacteria; Pseudomonadati; Pseudomonadota; Gammaproteobacteria; Oceanospirillales; Halomonadaceae
Description: partial 16S ribosomal RNA
Rfam family: Bacterial small subunit ribosomal RNA
Source: RNAcentral
CCUACGGGAGGCAGCAGUGGGGAAUAUUGGACAAUGGGGGCAACCCUGAUCCAGCCAUGCCGCGUGUGUGAAGAAGGCCCUCGGGUUGUAAAGCACUUUCAGUGAGGAAGAACGCCUGGUGGUUAAUACCCAUCAGGAAAGACAUCACUCACAGAAGAAGCACCGGCUAACUCCGUGCCAGCAGCCGCGGUAAUACGGAGGGUGCGAGCGUUAAUCGGAAUUACUGGGCGUAAAGCGCGCGUAGGUGGCUUGAUAAGCCGGUUGUGAAAGCCCCGGGCUCAACCUGGGAACGGCAUCCGGAACUGUCAAGCUAGAGUGCAGGAGAGGAAGGUAGAAUUCCCGGUGUAGCGGUGAAAUGCGUAGAGAUCGGGAGGAAUACCAGUGGCGAAGGCGGCCUUCUGGACUGACACUGACACUGAGGUGCGAAAGCGUGGGUAGCAAACAUGAUUAGAUACCCGUGUAGUC